Molecule: long non-coding RNA, 593 nt
Filed under: Phoenix dactylifera (date palm)
Lineage: Eukaryota; Viridiplantae; Streptophyta; Magnoliopsida; Arecales; Arecaceae
Description: long non-coding RNA (PDAC_LNC013154)
Source: RNAcentral
CUUGCUCUCAGACACCCCUAUAUCUCUUCUCACACCAGCUCCCCUCUGUUGCUGCUGCUAAACAUUUUGUAUACAUUUGUCUGCCCUCUUGCUUCUCCUCCUCCUCCUCCUCUUUUAUCUUUUGGUGCUUGGGGCUCAUAAAUCCAUGCAGCUGGUGUUGUUCUAUGUUUUUAAAAUUUUUGGUCCCUUUCUUUCUUUUAAGCUCUGCUUCGUCUGUUGUCCUUUUGGUGCUACUCUGUCUCGCACUCUUUCUUUCUAUGGUUGCCAAUGCAUUCAAUACCUGGCUCUACUCUACUGUACACUUCUCCACGUACCUCUUUGCCCUUCUGCACCACCAGCCACCAUCUAUUUAAUCUCUCCUCUUUCUCUCUCAUCCAUUAGCCUCCAAAACCAAGAGUUAGAACAAGUUAGAGAACUGAACAGUCCCUCUCCUUCCAUUUUUUCCCUUCUCUUUCCCUGUACUCAUUCAAUCAUUUGACCACUUCAGAUGGGUCAUUUUCUCCACCGCAUCAAAACUUGGAGACCUGUUCGCCUUGCCCUCGUAGUGCUUCUUCUUGUGAGCUCCAACCAAGUAAAAUACUCGGUUGAAGGUA